UACGGAGGGUGCGAGCGUUGUUCGGAAUCACUGGGCGUAAAGGGCGCGCAGGCGGUCUUAUAAGUCAGAUGUGAAAGCCCACGGCUUAACCGUGGAAGAGCAUUUGAAACUGCAAGACUUGAGUACCAGAGGGGAAGGUGGAAUUCCCGGUGUAGAGGUGAAAUUCGUAGAUAUCGGGAGGAAUACCGGUGGCGAAGGCGACCUUCUGGCUGGAUACUGACGCUGAGGCGCGAAAGCGUGGGGAGCAAACAGG
RNAcentral lists this ribosomal RNA (253 nucleotides) under uncultured bacterium. RNAcentral's name for it is "partial 16S ribosomal RNA". It matches the Rfam family "Bacterial small subunit ribosomal RNA", at positions 524 to 776 of the family's 1533-position model. The record is from RNAcentral.